AUUUCUACGAUUGUGUUCAUCAGAAAGGAGAAAGUCAUAUACACCUAGGAUGGCUUGAGGUGGAAGAGGAAAAAGGUGCAAAAGAUGUGGAACUGUGAAGAUUAGAUGUGAGUGGUCAUUAAGAUGGCAAUGAAAGAAAGAGAGAGAUAGAGGAGGAGGAGGAAGUGAAGGUUAUUUCCCUAUAGGUCUCAUUAAAGGCUACUUAUCCCCUUGCUCUUGCCCUGCGGAAAUGGCCCUGAGGGAGCCCACAGAAUGAGAGAGAGAGAGACAUAUGGAGGGUUACAUUAAACAAUGUACCAAUCGAACACGAAUAAACACUUUAAAACAUCAUGUUACAUUUGCAUACAUGAGACUGCUUCAGAACUUCUUUAUCACUGGUUUUUUUUAGCAUAUUUUCAUGAUAAUGUAUUGAAAUUGAAAGUCACAAUGGUGUUUUACAAUGGUGUUUAUAUCUUUACUGAACAUCAUGUAAUUAUUCUCUGAUUUUGAGAUGUUGGUUGAGCUGUCCAGCCUUUUUGAGUUUUUAGAAGUUGGGUGCAACAAGACAACAACCUAAAAGCACAGGAUUAUAUCAAAAACAACAGAAUGACUUCAGCAGACCCGGUCCUGACCUCAACUCAACUGAGAUGCUUUGAUAUGAUCUUAGGGGUGUGAUUCAACUCAUGACAUCCCAAGAUUAUUGCGGAGCUGAAACAGUUUUGUAAAACAAAACAGUGCAGAAUUCCUCAUGACCUCCAGCAAGUCUGAUCCGCAAUUACAGGAAACAUUUGGUUGAGGUUAUUGCUGGCAAAGGAGCAAACCGGUUAUUAAAUCCAACUAUUCUUAUUCUGUUUUUCAAUCUGCACUGUGAAUGUUUCCAUAGUGUGUUAUUUGUUUAAGCAGACUAUGUUUGUCCAUUGUUGAUACAAUUUUAUGAACAUUAAAUCUACAUGUAAAUCAUAUUUCCUACAACUGUACACACUGGAUUUCUGUAAUAGUUCAGGCUUAUCUAGAGUAAGGUAAAAAAUAUUGAUUUGUCAUGCACAGCAAUCAUUACGUGUUAUAUCAGCAAAUUUUGGCUUUUUUUUCAGGCUAAUCUAAGACAUAAUGAGGGACAACUAAACACAAUUAUGUGCAUUUUUUGUAAUGGUCACAAUAGCAAAUAUGUCCUAAACGUGACUAUAUUCUUUCCUGAUUGUUAUUUGAUAAAGACUCAUUGGUUGGUCUGACAGUCAAAAGUGCAAAAAAUAUGAUUUUGUUCAUGUAUGUACAGUAUAUGCACAAUUUCUUUCCUCCUGAGGGUGUUGGACAUACAGUAAUAGAGAUGCUGAUGCUUGUGCAAUAAUGUAAAAUGAUUUAUAACGCACUUAGCCAUGAAAUCUCAAAGAUUUGUUCCCACUAACUUAGUACAAUAAAUGGACUAUGAGGGCCAGUCUCAUUGGAGCAGAACAGUUUUAACUAUUAAACCAACUAUUAAGCAUUUUUUAUAUUUUAACUUUAACUGUAUGUUGUACCUCUUGGCACCGAGCUUAAUGAGGAAAAAGUAGAGAGGGAAAGAAUAGAAAUCAAAGUAAUGGAUUCAAAACAGAAUAUUAGAUAAAGAACAGAGAAAAACAAGUAUGAAAAAGCCAAACGAUGGAAAACUGAGGGAGAGAUGAAGCUCUUAAACAGAAUCUUUAUCAACUUAGACCAUGGGAUGAAAGCAAAGACAUUUAGGUGCAUCUUGUUUAAUCAAAUAAUCUGUUUAGAACCUUUAUCUAUAAAUUGUUCCUCAACAUAGGAUGUCAUGCUUAUUGUCAGGGGGGAAAAAGAGGACAGUAUUAUGAAGAAGUCUGUAGUUUGGAUCUGAAAAUAACAGCUCUUAGAUUAACCGCCAAAUUACUGUAAUUAGAUAUCAUUAUAAUAAAUCAUUUUCCAGGUUGAUUAUCAUUCUAACAAAAUUAUUGUAAUCACAAGGGUACAAAUGAACUCACAUCUGCAUCUGUGUUGUGCACCUUUUUUUUUUUUAAUCAUUUGCAUUUGUGUGCGUACUGCGUAGUGUUAAAAGGAUAGUUUACUCAACAAUGAAAAUUCUGUCAUUAUUUACUAACUCUCAACUUGUUUCAUUCCUGUAUAGCUUUUAAUCUUCCAUUGAAGGCUGCAGCAACUAAUCAAUAAAAUCGAUAAUGAAAAUCGUCCACAAUGAAUGGCAUUAUCGAUUAGUCGCGUCUGCCCAAACUUCCGCCAGUCGCGUCAAAAUUACAGCACUGAAUAAUGCAUUUCUAUGGACAAAAUGCAUCUAAAAAUAGUGGAGGAAUAGUUGAGCUCCUGCGGGAAAGAUGUGGUCACAUCCAUGUUUACUAUAUGGAAGAAGACUGGCUGCAUCCGAAAUUGCAUACUUCCCUACUACGAAAAACAGUAUAUGACCUAGCAGAUGACCUACUACUCCCGGCGAGAGGAUACGCAUACGAUGGACACUUUACUAUCCCAUGAGACCACGGGAGAGGAUUUGUGAAUGGCAGAGAAGUGGCAUAACUGAUGCUGGUUGAUCACAUGAUAAUGGCAGCAUGGUGAACGUAGUACAUCCGGAUUAUAUUCAUACUACACACAGUCAUGCUAUAUAGAAUGUACUUUUUUUAGCAGCUGUAAAUGAAUUACUUAUUCAAAAUAAGCACCAACUCAAGAGAGUCUGCGAUUUCGGACGCAGAAAUGAUGUUUUUUGACUUCAAAAGAGGAAAGAAAGUCUUAUGGGUUUCAAAAGGCAUGAGGGUGUAGAAAUGAUGACGAUAUUAUUUUUAGGCAAACUAUUCCUUUAUGCAUAUGCAAGAUGUUUCACAUGUACGCACUGAAAUUGAGUGAUCUUGACAUGCCAAAUUGUAUGUGGAGUCAUCCACUACACCUAUGACCUCUCCAGCAGAACUGCCCCCAGUGCACAUACACUCCUUAAGAUCACACUGAAACACGUACACCAUACCAUAGCGCACAUAGGGACUGCUGAGAUGUUUCUAUGGCAACCUGCAGCUUGCUCCACUAAUGAACUGGUUGCCAUGGUGAUGGGGAUUGGCUGUGCGCAAAGUGAGAGACUGAAUAACAGAGGGAGGAAGAAAUUUCACACUUCUCUGUGCCACUGCACAUACACACACACACACACACACACACAUGCAAGAGGACCGUGGUAGAGCGAGCAGGAAACUGACCGUUUCGGACUUAAACCCUAAACACAACCACGGACCAAUCACAGCAGCUCCUCAAGGUCAGAGGAUGGGAUUUAAUUCCAGCACUCCGCUGCAGGGCCAUCCCAGUUUCACAGUUCCUGGAACAGCACUGCUGUCCCAAAAUCCAGCCUGAGCAGCUUGAAGCUAACAUGUCCCUUAGCCCGGAGCUAGUGCUCAAGCUAGGAGGCUACAAGGAGGUUUAGGCAAUGUCAUAGCAGGAACUGUGCGGAGUGGGGUGUGCCUCAAGUCACAUAGGAAUUCCUGAUGUUCCUAAUCAUCUAUUACGGCACCUGAGCAGGCUAUGGAUUAUAGCUAUUACUGCAGGCUAAUUAAUCAAUUAGCAUUGCCAUUUAGCACUACCAAGGUGACCAAAGUCUUAAAUGAGAUGUUAAUGAAGCUGAUGGACAGUUGCUGGUCUGGGGUCUGCUAAUCCCACAAGCAGUGCUGUUUCACCUGAGUGAAUCACAACGUCUCCCUCUAGUGCACAUUGGACAGAAAUGUCUUUUUUUUCCCUUUAGAGUCAAUAGGGAUAAACAUGGUCCGAUUUUGUAGUUAUUAUUAAUUAAGAAAAAAUUAAGUAUAUUUGUUUAUAUCUUCAAAUAAAGAACAAAAGAUCCACA
This is a long non-coding RNA of Megalobrama amblycephala (Wuchang bream), 3793 nucleotides long. RefSeq lists it as uncharacterized. The transcript has 3 exons. The record is from RefSeq and is a predicted model, not a curated record. NCBI's taxonomy places the organism in Eukaryota, Metazoa, Chordata, Actinopteri, Cypriniformes, Xenocyprididae.